UCCAGGGUAGCCUAGAGGACAUGGCAUCUGCCCGGUAUGCGGAAGAUUGUGUGUUCGAUUCCCGCCCCUGGAC
This 73-nucleotide transfer RNA is filed under the name Cordylochernes scorpioides. RNAcentral describes it as "tRNA-Thr". It matches the Rfam family "tRNA". From Rfam's summary of the family: Transfer RNA (tRNA) molecules are approximately 80 nucleotides in length. The record is from RNAcentral. Lineage: Eukaryota; Metazoa; Arthropoda; Arachnida; Pseudoscorpiones; Chernetidae.